Molecule: long non-coding RNA, 417 nt
Filed under: Salmo salar (Atlantic salmon)
Lineage: Eukaryota; Metazoa; Chordata; Actinopteri; Salmoniformes; Salmonidae
Description: lncRNA (ENSSSAG00000110092.1)
Source: RNAcentral
CACAGGGUUAGGAUGAGAGAGAGCUAUGUCAACAGGGUUAGGAUGAGAGAGAGCUAUGUCAACAGGGUAAAGAUGAGAGAGAGCUAUGUCAACAGGUUUAGGAUGAGAGAGAGCUAUGUCAACAGGGUUAGGAUGAGAGAGAGAGAGAGCUAUGUCAACAGGGUUAAGAUGAGAGAGAGCUAUAGCUAUGUCAACAGGGUUAGGAUGAGAGAGAGAGAGAGCUAUGUCAACAGGGUUAGGAUGAGAGAGAGAGAGAGCUAUGUCAACAGGGUUAGGAUGAGAGAGAGAGAGCUAUGUCAACAGGGUUAGGAUGAGAGAGAGAGAGCUAUGUCAACAGGGUUAAGAUGAGAGAGAGCUAUGUCAACAGGGUUAGGAUGAGAGAGAGCUAUGUCAACAGGGUUAGGAUGAGAGAGAGAG